CCCUUAGACGUUCUGGGCCGCACGCGCGCUACACUGACGAAUGCAACGAGCUUAUAACCUUGGCCGAAAGGUCUGGGUAAUCUCCAAAUUUCGUCGUGAUGGGGAUAGAUUAUUGCAAUUAUUAAUCUUCAACGAGGAAUGCCUAGUAAGCGCAAGUCAUCAGCUUGCGUUGAUUACGUCCCUGCCCUUUGUACACACCGCCCGUCGCUCCUACCGAUUGAAUGGUCCGGUGAAGCGUUCGGACCGUGGCCUUUGGACGGUUCGCCGUCUGUUGGCUGCGGGAAGUUCGUUAAACCUUAUCAUUUAGAGGAAGGAGAAGUCGUANCA
RNAcentral lists this ribosomal RNA (327 nucleotides) under uncultured eukaryote. RNAcentral describes it as "partial 18S ribosomal RNA". It matches the Rfam family "Eukaryotic small subunit ribosomal RNA", at positions 1470 to 1796 of the family's 1831-position model. The record is from RNAcentral.